UACGUAGGGUGCGAGCGUUAAUCGGAAUUACUGGGCGUAAAGCGUGCGCAGGCGGUUAUAUAAGACAGAUGUGAAAUCCCCGGGCGUCAACCUGGGAACGUGCAUUUGUGACUGUAUAGCUAGAGUACGGUAGAGGGGGUGGGAAUUCCGCGUGUAGCAGUGAAAUGCGUAGAUAUGCGGAGGAACACCGAUGGCGAAGGCAAUCCCCUGGACCUGUACUGACGCUCAUGCACGAAAGCUGGGGAGCAAACCAGGAUUAGAAA
This 263-nucleotide ribosomal RNA is filed under the name uncultured bacterium. RNAcentral's name for it is "partial 16S ribosomal RNA". It matches the Rfam family "Bacterial small subunit ribosomal RNA", at positions 524 to 784 of the family's 1533-position model. The record is from RNAcentral.